CGCUCUGACGCAGGCGUUUCCUGGCGUGGAGCGACUCGUCCUGGAGCUCCCCUGCACCGUCCUGGGAGGCGGGAGGCGUCAACCAGCUCACCAAAUACUGGCAGCUGAAGAAAAUGAGUGAAUGAAGAAGGAGGAAGCAGGAGAGACAAAGAAACAGGAUAUACAACACAGGUGAAAGAUUAAAAGGACUCCCCAGGAUGAUGUGAAGAGAGUUGCUAGAAUGACUACUGUGCAUCAAGCUUAAAAUCCAGACUGGGGCGUGUGACCCAAGCAACAUAUAUAGCAUCAUCUUUUUGAACUAAAAAUGGUUGAGUGAACCUGGCCCAGUGCUUAUCUGUACUUGGCUUUCCUGGGUCAGAGGAAGAUGAAGUACCGAUCUCCUCCUUCUUAGAUCAGCUGAGGACACUCCUUCCCUCCAUAAGGAUGUUCUGCCUGGACCUGUUCCUGAGAGCUAGAGGUUGGUCAAGUAAUAAAGCUGUAACUGGGCUGUUGCUAUCCAACGAGGAGCUACAUUUCUCAGCCUCCCCUUGCAGCCUGGAUUCUAAGUCGUUGCCAGUGAAAUGCCAUCAAGUUCUAGAUGAUCUUCAGUGAGAGAUACUGUCCUCUCAAUAUUCAAGUGUCAUCCUUCUACGGAGAAUCCCUAGACUGCUCAUCAGUGGAACAUGAAAGAGGUAAAAUCCUGUCUCAUCUCCCUUUGACCUGGCUGCAUACCACUUUCACCAACUCACAGAUCCAUCCUGCCCUGACAGCAAGAGGCCAAGACCCACAGAACAACCACUACCACCCCUCUGACAGCAGGAAGCAGUUACAGAAGACUGACCUCUGUCCAUUAUCCCAAAGAAUUGGGUCUUGGACUCUUGGUGGGUGGGAAUGUUAGAGUAGGUAGUUAGGCAGGCAUGAGGAGGGCAGUGGAGGAUCCCCUAUCCCAAGAAUGUCAGGCAACCAUCAAGUUAUGUCAGGUGGUUGUUCAACUGGCUCUCUGAAACGAUAAUUGGUUGCAGCUGGCUCCAUGGUAAGACGGUCUCCCAGUAGAUAGAAGACACCUGGAGCUGGUGAUCAGCAGCUUCCUGACAAGAUCUUAGAAGUUGGAUGAGCAGGCUCAAGCAUGUGAACUGAGAAUUAAAAUGACUGAUGUAUGAUGUUCCUCUGGAGGCAUUCCACCUGUAAAGGAAAAUCGCCUUCAGAGAGCAUGUGCACAAUCUUCGUAAAUAUACUACACAUGCGGUCACCCUCCUAACUGCUGACCGACAUUGCACAUGCAGUAGUUGAGCAACAGCCUGCUCCAAAGGAAGAUUCAAGGGAAGAGAAAAGGGAACCCCAGAGCCAUGUCAAUGUGUAAAACCCUCCAUCAAAGGCUGAAUGAGACACUUGGACCUCUCAAGUUGCCUGCUUGGCCCUCUUCCAAGUGUACUUUGCUUCCUUUUGCUUCUGUUCUAAAACAUCUUAAUAAAGUCUCAC
Non-coding RNA from Saimiri boliviensis boliviensis (Bolivian squirrel monkey), 1458 nucleotides. NCBI's taxonomy places the organism in Eukaryota, Metazoa, Chordata, Mammalia, Primates, Cebidae. The record is from RefSeq and is a predicted model, not a curated record.